This 49-nucleotide non-coding RNA is filed under the name Trypanosoma brucei brucei. Lineage: Eukaryota; Euglenozoa; Kinetoplastea; Trypanosomatida; Trypanosomatidae. The record is from RNAcentral.
AAAUACAAAACUGAACAGAUGAUAGAGAUAGUAAAUGAUUUAUUAUUGU